GAUGAAGAACGCAGCGAAAUGCGAUACGUAGUGUGAAUUGCAGAAUUCAGUGAAUCAUCGAAUCUUUGAACGCACAUUGCACCUCUCGGUAUUCCGGGAGGUAUGCCUGUUCGAGCGUCAUUUGUACCCUCAAGCUCUGCUUGGUGUUGGGUGUUUGUUCCGCCUCUGUGUGUGAACUCGCCUCAAAACAAUUGGCAGCCGGCGUACUUGUUUCGGAGCGCAGCACAUUUUGCGAUCCAGAUCAGCGUACAGCGGCAUCCAAGAAGCCUUAUUUAACGCUCUUGACCUCGGAUCAGGUAGGGAUACCCGCUGAACUUAAGCAUAUCAAUAAGCGGAGGA
Molecule: unclassified non-coding RNA, 339 nt
Filed under: soil metagenome
Description: partial contains 5.8S ribosomal RNA, internal transcribed spacer 2, and large subunit ribosomal RNA
Rfam family: 5.8S ribosomal RNA (bases 1-120)
Source: RNAcentral